RNAcentral lists this ribosomal RNA (71 nucleotides) under Aggregatibacter segnis. RNAcentral describes it as "partial 16S ribosomal RNA". It matches the Rfam family "Bacterial small subunit ribosomal RNA", at positions 1470 to 1533 of the family's 1533-position model. Lineage: Bacteria; Pseudomonadati; Pseudomonadota; Gammaproteobacteria; Pasteurellales; Pasteurellaceae. The record is from RNAcentral.
CAUGACUGGGGUGAAGUCGUAACAAGGUAACCGUAGGGGAACCUGCGGUUGGAUCACCUCCUUACCAAAGA